UUUAUAUGAGAGUUUGAUCCUGGCUCAGGAUGAACGCUGGCGGCGUGCCUAAUACAUGCAAGUCGAACGAGUUCUCGUUGAUGAUCGGUGCUUGCACCGAGAUUCAACAUAGAACGAGUGGCGGACGGGUGAGUAACACGUGGGUAACCUGCCCUUAAGUGGGGGAUAACAUUUGGAAACAGAUGCUAAUACCGCAUAGAUCCAAGAACCGCAUGGUUCUUGGCUGAAAGAUGGCGUAAGCUAUCGCUUUUGGAUGGACCCGCGGCGUAUUAGCUAGUUGGUGAGGUAAUGGCUCACCAAGGCGAUGAUACGUAGCCGAACUGAGAGGUUGAUCGGCCACAUUGGGACUGAGACACGGCCCAAAC
This 365-nucleotide ribosomal RNA is filed under the name Lacticaseibacillus paracasei. Its description in RNAcentral is "bacterial SSU rRNA". It matches the Rfam family "Bacterial small subunit ribosomal RNA", at positions 1 to 336 of the family's 1533-position model. The record is from RNAcentral. Lineage: Bacteria; Bacillati; Bacillota; Bacilli; Lactobacillales; Lactobacillaceae.